GAAUCCCGUCUUUGACAUGGACUGCCAGGGCUCAACAGGUGUGCUCUCGAAGAGUCGAGUUGUUUGGGAAUGCAGCUCAAAAUGGGUGGUAAAUGCCAUCUAAAGCUAAAUAUUGGCGAGAGACCGAUAGCGAACAAGUACCGUGAGGGAAAGAUGAAAAGAACUUUGGAAAGAGAGUUAAACAGUACGUGAAAUUGCUGAAAGGGAAACGCUUGAAGUCAGUCGCGUCAGCUGGAAAUCAACCCUGCUUUUGCUGGGCGCACUUUCCUGUCUGACGGGUCAGCAUCAGUUCUGGUCGCUGGAUAAAGUCCUUGGGAACGUGGCAUCCUUUGGAUGUGUUAUAGCCCACUGGCGCAUGCAGCGGCUGGGAUUGAGGAACUCAGCACGCGCCUUCGGGCGUCGGGGCCUUGCCCACGAUACGUGCUUAGGAUGUUGGCGUAAUGGCUUUAAACGACCCGUCUUGAAACACGGACCAAGGAGUCUAACAUGCCUGCGAGUGUUUGGGUGGUGAAAACUCAUGCGCGCAAUGAAAGUGAUGGUUGAGAUCCCUGUCAUGGGGAGCAUCGACGCCCAGACCAGACCUUUUGCGACGGAUCUGCGGUAGAGCAUGCAUGUUGGGACCCGAAAGAUGGUGAACUAUGCCUGAAUAGGGUGAAGCCAGAGGAAACUCUGGUGGAGGCUCGUAGCGAUUCUGACGUGCAAAUCGAUCGUCAAAUUUGGGUAUAGGGGCGAAAGACUAAUCGAACCAUCUAGUAGCUGGUUCCUGCC
This 768-nucleotide ribosomal RNA is filed under the name uncultured Inocybe. RNAcentral describes it as "partial 28S ribosomal RNA". It matches the Rfam family "Eukaryotic large subunit ribosomal RNA", at positions 216 to 962 of the family's 3401-position model. Lineage: Eukaryota; Fungi; Basidiomycota; Agaricomycetes; Agaricales; Cortinariaceae. The record is from RNAcentral.